This 497-nucleotide ribosomal RNA is filed under the name uncultured bacterium. RNAcentral's name for it is "partial 16S ribosomal RNA". It matches the Rfam family "Bacterial small subunit ribosomal RNA", at positions 28 to 507 of the family's 1533-position model. The record is from RNAcentral.
GAUGAACGCUGGCGGCGUGCCUAAUACAUGCAAGUCGAGCGAACGGACGAGAAGCUUGCUUCUCUGAUGUUAGCGGCGGACGGGUGAGUAACACGUGGAUAACCUACCUAUAAGACUGGGAUAACUUCGGGAAACCGGAGCUAAUACCGGAUAAUAUUUUGAACCGCAUGGUUCAAAAGUGAAAGACGGUCUUGCUGUCACUUAUAGAUGGAUCCGCGCUGCAUUAGCUAGUUGGUAAGGUAACGGCUUACCAAGGCAACGAUGCAUAGCCGACCUGGGAGGGUGAUCGGCCACACUGGAACUGAGACACGGUCCAGACUCCUACGGGAGGCAGCAGUAGGGAAUCUUCCGCAAUGGGCGAAAGCCUGACGGAGCAACGCCGCGUGGGUGAUGAAGUUCUUCGGAUCGUAAAACUCUGUUAUUAGGGAAGAACAUAUGUGUAAGUAACUGUGCACAUCUUGACGGUACCUAAUCAGAGAGCCACGGCUAACUACGUG